Molecule: long non-coding RNA, 821 nt
Filed under: Nicotiana benthamiana
Lineage: Eukaryota; Viridiplantae; Streptophyta; Magnoliopsida; Solanales; Solanaceae
Description: long non-coding RNA (NBEN_LNC028523)
Source: RNAcentral
UACGUUCACGAAUAAUCUCACCUCCUUUUUUCUCUGCUCAAUUUCAUCGAACACAGAGUGUAUAUGUUGAAGGUAGGGUUGUAAAAUUCGACGCUUGUCGUUUUUCCUGAUUUUCAUAACAAGCGAUUUCCGGCCUGUGUUUUCGUCCUGUUCAUUGAUCCAACAAACUCUGGCGCUGAGGAAAUUGUCAACGACGAUUUGGUUUGAAUCCAAAACGAAGGCCUGUGUUUUCGUCUUGUUCAUUGAUCCAACAAACUCUGGCGCUGAGGAAAUUGUCAACAACGAUUUGGUUUGGAUCCAAAACGAGGUUGAUUUCAUUGGACUUGUCGCCGGAGAAAAGGUUGGUGAAAUCAGAAUCUUCAACACACGGCAGAGAAUUCAGAUAAGUGCAAACUUUUCUAUACAAUUGAUUUUCCUGCAUGUUGUGGUUGACUUGCGGGACUCUGUAGAACUGGUACACAUAACAACCGUCCUCGAACAAUCGCCACCAUUUCUUCAGAAUUUGCACUAACGAAGUUUUCAAUACAAACUUCAGAAGAAAACAUGAAGCAAUAAUUGCAAUCACAUACAGAAACAUGAUUAAAUAAAGGGGUAUGAAAUGAAAUCAAACAGGAAAUGAACUAAAAUGAUGAUAAGAACAAGGUGGACGAAAUCAUGAAUAUUGUAGUAAAGAAAGAAUAUAAAGUGCUGAGAAAAGCAUAAAGAAAUUAGUAGCAAUAAAGUGUAUAAAUUAAGAGGAUGGGCGAUUGGCAGGUUGGAACAAUGAAUAAGUCUUUAUAAAUGAAUUUGAUGUCUUUGAAAUAAGGAGACGGCUACAGACA